Molecule: long non-coding RNA, 3277 nt
Organism: Hydra vulgaris (swiftwater hydra)
Lineage: Eukaryota; Metazoa; Cnidaria; Hydrozoa; Anthoathecata; Hydridae
Source: RefSeq, a predicted model, not a curated record
UUUAUUUUAGGAAAAUAAAUAUAUUAUUAUAAUUAUUAUAGUAAUAUAUUUAUUUUAUCCUGCUUAUUGAAUAAAUUUUUAACAGUAAGUAUUGCAUUUCUGAAUAAAUAUUUUAUAACAGUGUUUACGUACAGUUCUUUUCAGAUUAACCAUAAAUACCAAUCUCGAUACCAUUUAAAUGUGUUCAAGUUUUAAUUUUUUGAAUUUUGAUAACACAAAUAUGAUAAUUAAUUCUAAGAUAAUUACACAAAAAAUUAUUUUCAUAUUAUUAUCAGUGGUGGAGUAAAACAUUUGUAUUUGGUUAAUUAUUAUUGUAAUUUUUCUUCUUUUAAUCUCAUUUUAGGCUUGUGGGUUGUGCAGGGUUGUGCAACUAUUUUAUAUUGCUUUAACAGAACCAAAAUUUAUAACUAAGUUUAUAUUUUUUAAUAUUAAUAAGAAGUAAUAUGUCGAAUAUUUUACAAACGAAUAUCAAGUCGGUUAGAACCUAAUGCUCAUGCAAAUAAAGGUGCCAUGGCAACCCUUUGAAUCUGAUAGUUAUUCACUCUGAGCAAUAAAGUAUAAUAUUUUAAAUCAAAUUAACUGCGGAAAUGAAUUUCAAUAAACUGGUUGCUUUGCUUAUAUUUUGACAAACAACGUAAGUAUAUUAUUAAUUUGAAACCGAAAAAUGUUAAUUUUUCAAAUGUCUUUACCAAGCAUCAGCUAUGCAUUAAGUGUUUAAAAAAAUCAACUUGUAAAGUAAGUAAAAUAAAAUGUAUUUGAAAAAUUUCAUUCAUAGAAAGCAUAGAGAGUCUUCAACAAAAACUCAAGUAAAGAUCAUAUUGCAAAUAUUGAAAAGGGCUCUCCAUUGGUAAAUAAAUGUCAAACAAUUUGUAUAGAGAAUGCAAGCAAUUGUUAAGCAGUUCUUUUUAUAUAUUUAUAGUAUUUACUAUACCUGUAAUCUUCUUGUAUAUUCACAUUUUUAGUAUUAAUUUGUAUAUUUAUUUAGUUAUGUUUUAGUUAACAUAAUCUAUUUAACUUAAUAAUUUAAUGUUAAACUAAUGAACUGAAAAAAAAAAUACAAUUGACAUUGUUUUGCAAACUAAAGUUUAACGUUUACAUUUUGUUGUUAAAAACCCUGUUAUACCUAAUUUUUAUUUUCAGGUUUUAUUUUAAGCUACUUUUUAUUUUAGUCUAAAUAACCAUAGCUAAUAAAGGCCAGCAAAUGCUCUUACUGUUUUUCAAAAAAUUGUUUUUAGCUUAUUUUCUAGCACAAUUAUGACUAUUAAUUAUUACUAUUUAAUAAGACUUUUAACUUUAAGAUUUUAAUUAUAAUACAAACAUUCAACUGUAUGAUUUUAAUUAUGACAAUUAUAUACAAACAUUCAACUAUAUGAGAUUAAUGAGCUAGCAAGUAAAAAAACUUACAUACAACAAAUGUAGUUUGAUGAGAGGAUAAGAAUAUUAACUCUUUAAAGUUUAGGAAAUAUAAGAAUAUUACCUUUUCUAAAUAAGUUUUAUCCUGUUUUUUUAUUAAUAAAAAUUAAUUUUUCUUAUCAUUAUUAUUUUUCAUUGUAUUUAAUUUUCAUUAUUGUCUUGUUAUUGUUAAAACUACUAAAAUUUAUGUUUAUUUCAGAAUAAUAGAAAUGAAUAAACAAGAGAAAAAUCAAUACUUGAGGGAAUGGCGCCAAAGUAAUCAAGCCUUAAACAAUGUACUUGUAAAUGAAGAAAUUGACUCACAUCACAUGUCGACUCUAUUAAUAAUAUUAAUAGAGUCAAGAGUUGAAUUGAUUUCAAAAAUAUUGAAAUUAAGAACUAUAGUGACUUUUAUUUUGUCUCUGAUCAUAAAUAUACUUCUGGAACUGAGAGUUCUAUUCUAGACUCUGAGGUUCCUGUGUUUGAUGAUAAUGAAGAUCUUCAUGACGUACUUGUUACAUAACGUAUGAGUACUUGUUACAGAGAUUGCCAAAUGGAUUUUAAAACACAGAAUAACUAGAAAUGCAAGUGGCGAGUUGUUAACCAUUUACACCAGUAUAGUUAUAAUGUUGAUUUACCAAAAUGUACAGGAAAAUUUUAAAUACUCCUAGGAAUAUUCCAAGCAAGUUAAAAUGUGGGGGUAAAUAUGUUUACCUUGGUAUUUCAAAUGACAAAUCAAGAACUUUAGCAAUCAACCAGCAUUACAGAUUUGAGUCAAAUACAUUUCUUUAGUUGUCAAUGUAGAUAGCAUUCCCUUGCUAUAAAUCAAGAAUUAACUUAGUGACCUGAUAACCAUUUACAUUCUGUAGAGUUUUUUACAGUCUUGUAUUUUUGUUAAACUAUUUUGUCUUAUAUUUGGUUGAGCAAUUAUUAUUUCGUUGCAUUGAUAGAAUAACUGUGAAAAACAACCAAAUAAAUCUAAUCCUGUGUUAUUCCAACAUGAAAUUUUCUCUAAACUUUUAUUUAUGUUUUAGCUUUGUCACCUCAUAAAAGCAGGUGGGAAAAUGUUAAAGAAAAUACAAAAAAUGUUAAGGUCAGAUAUCCAAACUCCUGUGGUAAGAAAUGUUAAACACAACAAUUUAACAGACCAAAUCAUUAUUCCUAUCAUGGUCUAAAUAUGAUGGGCCAAACAUAAUAUUAGAAAUGUUGCAUUAAUGGGAACUAAUAGCACAUUUGGAAUGGUGGAAACAUUUUUUUUGUUUUGGUGCGAGAAGUUAAGUUUAAUUUAUUUUUGAGCUUUUUUGUAAAUUUAACCAUUAACUCUCACAUAGUGUGAGAGUAAAUGGUUAACAAAUAAUUUUCAAUGUAUAAAUUAAGCAACUUUAUCAACUUUUAAAAAGCAUUUUACAAAAACUGCCUUAUUUAUUUAGGUUCUCCCCUAUGUCGAAACUUUGAAUUUAUAAGUUUAUAAAAAAAUAAAGAACCUUUCCAAAUUAUACUUUUUGAAUUAUUACUCCAAUGUGUAUUUACAAUUAUUAAGAUAAGUUCGCUGGAUCACUUAAUGUAAUAUAACAAAGUAGUUAUUUUCCAUUUAUUAUUUGUUGUUGCGUUUUUAUAGAAUUAUGAAGCAUCAUGUUAAGCCCAAGUUCAAUAUGAAAAGCAAAAUUCGUGUGAUAUAAAGAAGUUAUCAUUCGAAAAUAAAAAGUUGGGUAAAGCAAUAAUUUUGAAGUCAUCCAGCUAACGCACGAGAGUUCGACGGAAGCAAACAAAAGAUCAAAUAGGAAGCAUUUUAAAGUUCUCUCCAUUAAACAAUUAUUUAUUUUUGAGUUUUUUUUGUAAAUUUAUAAUACAAAAGAAUAUAUAAUACAUCUUUAAAAAAAUCUUU